ACGCUGGCGGCAGGCCUAACACAUGCAAGUCGAGCGGUAGAGAGAAGCUUGCUUCUCUUGAGAGCGGCGGACGGGUGAGUAAUACCUAGGAAUCUGCCUGGUAGUGGGGGAUAACGUCCGGAAACGGACGCUAAUACCGCAUACGUCCUACGGGAGAAAGCAGGGGACCUUCGGGCCUUGCGCUAUCAGAUGAGCCUAGGUCGGAUUAGCUAGUUGGUGGGGUAAUGGCUCACCAAGGCGACGAUCCGUAACUGGUCUGAGAGGAUGAUCAGUCACACUGGAACUGAGACACGGUCCAGACUCCUACGGGAGGCAGCAGUGGGGAAUAUUGGACAAUGGCCGAAAGCCUGAUCCAGCCAUGCCGCGUGUGUGAAGAAGGUCUUCGGAUUGUAAAGCACUUUAAGUUGGGAGGAAGGGCAGUAAAUUAAUACUUUGCUGUUUUGACGUUACCGACAGAAUAAGCACCGGCUAACUCUGUGCCAGCAGCCGCGGUAAUACAGAGGGUGCAAGCGUUAAUCGGAAUUACUGGGCGUAAAGCGCGCGUAGGUGGUUCGUUAAGUUGGAUGUGAAAUCCCCGGGCUCAACCUGGGAACUGCAUUCAAAACUGACGAGCUAGAGUAUGGUAGAGGGUGGUGGAAUUUCCUGUGUAGCGGUGAAAUGCGUAGAUAUAGGAAGGAACACCAGUGGCGAAGGCGACCACCUGGACUGAUACUGACACUGAGGUGCGAAAGCGUGGGGAGCAAAC
This 745-nucleotide ribosomal RNA is filed under the name uncultured bacterium. RNAcentral describes it as "bacterial SSU rRNA". It matches the Rfam family "Bacterial small subunit ribosomal RNA", at positions 33 to 773 of the family's 1533-position model. The record is from RNAcentral.